RNAcentral lists this signal recognition particle RNA (315 nucleotides) under Thermoplasmatales archaeon. Its description in RNAcentral is "signal recognition particle sRNA". It matches the Rfam family "Archaeal signal recognition particle RNA". The record is from RNAcentral. Lineage: Archaea; Methanobacteriati; Thermoplasmatota; Thermoplasmata; Thermoplasmatales.
UCAUGGACUAGGCCGGGAGGCUAGGCGUCUCCUGCCACCGAAAAACGCCUUGACGUCGGGGCUGAAGUCACCGGGGCAGCAUACCAGUUCCCUGGCGAUCCAGCAUUGGACAAUGAAAUUCCGUCCCCUGGGACCAGAGGUGGUGGUUCCUGCCAGUCGGAGGGUUGGCAGCCCAUCUUGGUUCCGGCCAAGGGGUCAGGCCCGGAAGGGAGCAGCCCGAUCGGGAACUCGUGGUGCUCAGGGGGUCACGGAAUUGAGAAAAAUGCUGGGCACGUCGCCACGGAACGGGAAUGCUCACCUGGUACAUGUCCAUAC